GCCUGCGUGGUGGGGUGGUCAGUACGUUCGACCCGUAUUCGAGAGGUCCGUGGCUCGAAUCCCGGCGAGGGCA
RNAcentral lists this transfer RNA (73 nucleotides) under Stegodyphus mimosarum. It matches the Rfam family "tRNA". From Rfam's summary of the family: Transfer RNA (tRNA) molecules are approximately 80 nucleotides in length. Their secondary structure includes four short double-helical elements and three loops (D, anti-codon, and T loops). The record is from Rfam by way of RNAcentral. Lineage: Eukaryota; Metazoa; Arthropoda; Arachnida; Araneae; Eresidae.